UGAUAAAACUGUACGAUUGGAUGUGUCACGUACGGGCGAGAGAGAGAGAAAUUCGCAGUAGAAGGAGAGCGCGAGCACAGCGGCGAUGGACGCUGAAAGAUAUCGCGUACGGGUGAGGGAGAGACAGAUUCUCAAUAGAGGGAGAUAGCGAGCACCGCGGCGAUGGCGGCCCAAGCAGCAUUUUGACGUCCGCCCGAUAUUAAGAUAAACACACUUAACGUUGGUAUCCAAUGUUUUUGCUACGUCGUUUAGAUUCUCUUUUACACUAAUUUGGGAAAUCAAACUUAAGUUAUACCAACGUUGGAAGCCGACUUAUUUAAGUUAAAUUGAGGUUACAUUUUUUCCACCAGUUUUAAUGUUGGUGUAGCGAGGAUUCGAGUGGGGAAACAAGACGCAAUUGCUAAGGGCCAUAUAUAGAGGUGUCGGUUCUGGACACACAUCAGUCAUUUGGCAGAUCUCAUACAGCACAGAUACAACGGCCCCAGCAGUUUUAUUAUUGCCGUUCGUAGAUUUAAAUUAAUCGUCUUCACCUGAGAAAAUACCGCCUGCCGAGAGGAGAGCCACAGGUAUUCAAAGCCACUGUAAAGUGAUUUCAGUUGAGUUCGCAUCUCCUUUUGUAUCGGACUUACAAGGAAACCUCGCGAAUCUGAAAUUUCUGAUUUUAAUGAAACUUGGCAUAAAUGUAGAGGGGGUAAAUACAUAAAUCUUAAAAAAAAAAAAAAAAA
Molecule: long non-coding RNA, 725 nt
Organism: Monomorium pharaonis (pharaoh ant)
Lineage: Eukaryota; Metazoa; Arthropoda; Insecta; Hymenoptera; Formicidae
Exons: 2
Source: RefSeq, a predicted model, not a curated record